AUGAUAAAGAGAAAAAAAUAAACAAAGAAGAAAUAAAAAAGAAAAACAAAUAAAAUAUAACUUUUUAUUAUAAGUAAAAUUAUCAUAAAUAAAGAAAAACAAUGAAGGAAAGAAACAAACAAAAGAGGUAACUAUAUAUAAAAGAAAAGAAUAAAACAUAUCCUAAAGGUUGUGAUUCAACCCUAGCAAUCACCUCCUUUGUUCUAGCCAUGGUCUCUAGGUCCCAAA
This 228-nucleotide unclassified non-coding RNA is filed under the name Hevea brasiliensis (rubber tree). The record is from RNAcentral. Lineage: Eukaryota; Viridiplantae; Streptophyta; Magnoliopsida; Malpighiales; Euphorbiaceae.